GAGGGGAGAUGGAUGAUUCCCGGUUCUUGUCUCUAUCUGCGUGCGCCCUCUGCCAUUUUUAACUCCAAACGCGGACCACGUUUGCCCUGCGGAACGAGGAGGCAAUGGCGGCUCUUCUUCCAACUCCUUCUCUUUUCACCACUAAGUUUCCUUCUAAAACCCGCGCCAGUACACCCUUUCUCUCUCCUAUCAAUCCCCUUUCUCUCACUAACUCACGUUCAAUUUUGUGGAGCUCUAGCGAAUUUGGGCGAAGAGUGGAGGUGCGAUGUCACGCUAUGAACAGUGCUGUUGAGGUGCAGACAAAGAGGAGCUCCGAUAAACCUAGGGUUUCACCGCCUUUUAGAGUGGGGCAUGGCUUCGAUCUUCACAGGCUUGAGCCUGGUUUGCCUCUCAUUAUUGGAGGAAUCAAUAUACCCCAUGAUAGAGGUUGUGAGGCUCAUUCUGAUGGUGAUGUGCUCCUGCACUGUGUGGUCGAUGCAAUUUUGGGGGCUCUUGGACUUCCGGAUAUUGGCCAAAUUUUCCCUGAUAGUGAUCCUAAAUGGCGGGGAGCAGAAUCAUCUGUCUUCAUGAGAGAAGCAGUGAAGCUUAUGCAUGAGGCAGGCUAUGAACUUGGUAACUUGGAUGCCACCCUCAUCUUGCAGAGACCCAAGCUGAGCCCCCACAAAGAAUCAAUCAGGGCCAACCUAUGUGAGCUUCUUGGAGCAGAUCCUAGCGUAGUCAAUCUUAAAGCGAAAACUCAUGAAAAGGUUGACAGCCUUGGAGAGAACCGAAGUAUUGCAGCUCACACUGUGGUUCUUCUCAUAAAGAAGUGACAACCCUUUGGGAGUUGAUGAUCGAUAUGCGGCUUUCGAGGGGAAUGUUGUUACUUUCAACUCUGAAGAGUUGCAGUGAAGGAUGGUGACCUCAAGGUUGGACUAUUAUCGUUGACAUGCCGGAAAUUGAAAGAGGUGAUUUGGGUGACAUAUCCGUUUCUUAAAACCUGUCUGGAACUCAAUAUUGGGCAACGUCUCAUACAUGGUGUCCACCAAUCAAGUUCUAUAUCUAUCAUGGAAGUGCCGUUCGAAUUCUGUCAGCUAUAGUGACAGUCGUAUUUCAUGGCGGACAAAACGCAUUAAAGAUGUGUGUCAUUUUCUUCAUGAGCGCCGUUUGAUGCUUGUGACAUCUCUUCCAUAUUUUUGUUUCUUCCUAAAUGCACGACUGACAUUAAGAAGGCUUGAGUUCGUUAUUGCCAAAUUGUCUUA
Molecule: RNA transcript, 1241 nt
Organism: Amborella trichopoda
Lineage: Eukaryota; Viridiplantae; Streptophyta; Magnoliopsida; Amborellales; Amborellaceae
Gene: ISPF
Gene name: isoprenoid F
Source: RefSeq, a predicted model, not a curated record